Molecule: ribosomal RNA, 117 nt
Filed under: Paramormyrops kingsleyae
Lineage: Eukaryota; Metazoa; Chordata; Actinopteri; Osteoglossiformes; Mormyridae
Source: RNAcentral
UUCAGCAGCCAUAACACCUGAGGUUCAGACUAUGUAAUCCAGCUGAAGUUAAGCAGGUUUGGGCCUGGCCAGUACUUGGAUGGGAGACCAACUAAAAAAGCUGGGCUGCUGCUGAAG